CCCCGUGAAGAGGCGGGGAUAACAAAAUAAGACGAAAAGACCCUUUGGAGCUUCAACUACCUAAUUUAUACAGAUUAACAAUAUCAACUAACUGUAUCAAAUUACACGUUUUGGUUGGGGUGACCUCGGAGAACAACACAACCUCCGAAUGAUAUUAACCUAGACUAAACAAGUCAAAGUAGUUAUCAUAAAUUGACCCAAUACAAAUUGAUCAACGAAACAAGUUACCCUAGGGAUAACAGCGCAAUCCUAUUUUAGAGCCCCUAUCGACAAUAGGGUUUACGACCUCGAUGUUGGAUCAGGACAUCCUAAUGGUGUAGACGCUAUUAAGGGUUCGUUUGUUCAACGAUGAAAGUCCUACGUGAUCUGAGUUCAGACCGGAGCAAUCCAGGUCGGUUUCUAUCUAUUU
Non-coding RNA from Heterocephalus glaber (naked mole-rat), 409 nucleotides. The record is from Rfam. NCBI's taxonomy places the organism in Eukaryota, Metazoa, Chordata, Mammalia, Rodentia, Bathyergidae.